GAUGAACGCUGGCGGCGUGCUUAACACAUGCAAGUCGAACGGAGUGCCUUUGAAAGAGGAUUCGUCCAAUUGAUAAGGUUACUUAGUGGCGGACGGGUGAGUAACGCGUGAGGAACCUGCCUUGGAGUGGGGAAUAACACAGUGAAAAUUGUGCUAAUACCGCAUAAUGCAGUUGGGCCGCAUGGCUCUGACUGCCAAAGAUUUAUCGCUCUGAGAUGGCCUCGCGUCUGAUUAGCUAGUUGGUGGGGUAACGGCCCACCAAGGCGACGAUCGGUAGCCGGACUGAGAGGUUGAACGGCCACAUUGGGACUGAGACACGGCCCAG
Molecule: ribosomal RNA, 325 nt
Filed under: uncultured bacterium
Lineage: Bacteria
Description: bacterial SSU rRNA
Rfam family: Bacterial small subunit ribosomal RNA
Source: RNAcentral